UAAAAAGUGUUAAGCUUAUCAUGACUGUUUAUUACCUCUACAAUAAACAUUUUCCUUGUUAUCAGCUUGCCAAUUUUCUAUCUGUAGAUUCCUAAAAGACAAUUCAUACCUGCCUCAGCAAACCACUUGUGUCCUGGAAAUCAUGUAACACAUCCAGAAACAUGGUUUAAAGGUGGAAUUUGAAUGUCCAUCAAACUUUUCCCCCUACCUUCUUGAAUGAAAUUCUAGGGUUCCCAUAGCUGUAGUCAACUCGGCUACUAAUUUUGGUGUGGCUAGGCAGAUUAUUUAAUUCUCUCAACUUCUUUAUGUAUCUGCAAAUACUCUUCAAAGUUUCCAGAUGUAAACCUAUAAAAUUAAUUUUUAAAAAAGUUUUAUCUUACCACUAUCUUGUAUUUUGUGGAUGUAUGGCUAUUUGUGUAGCAUGCUGUUUUUCAUCAGUAUUCAAACCUUCAGAAAAUACCCACGCACUAACACUCUAUGAGCUUAAUUGUUCCAUUUAUGGCCAUUUUGAUUUUACGUAUCUACUAUAAGCCAAGAUACUAGGUGCACAGGAUGCUAAAAUUAAUGAAAUUCCUACCCUUAAUAACUUUAGGGUCAGGCGUUAUAAACCAAAAUACUACUGUAGUGUUUUGAAUGCUUUGAUAGUAUUAGAAAUACACAGGAAAUAGUGGUCAGCCCUCCUGGUGGGGGAAGGCAUUACCUUUCAACUUGAGUCUUGGUCAGAAUGUGUUGGCUGAGUGGGCAAAGGAAGAAUGGGCAGCACACUGGCAAAGAAGAGAGCAAGUAAAGGCAGAGACUUGUGACAAUAUGGCAAAUUCAUUCUAACAGCGGCAUGGGUGGAGUGCAGAUUUCAAUAGAGUACGGCAAGAGAAAAGCUGAAGAACUUCAUUUGUAGUCAAAAUGUGACCAAGUAUAUGCUAAGAAAAUGAGUUUUCACUUGAUUCUCUAGGGAAUGGGAAACCACCAAAAAUCUUUAAGCAGAGGGUUAUGGUUAGAUUUGAAAUUGAGAACACAAUUCUAAUGGUUAUGUGAAUAGUUUGGGAAUUGUCCAGGUGAGAGAGAUGUUUGGAAUUAAGGGAACAGCAGUUAAGGUGGUGUGUUAGAAUGAAUAAUUCUCUCCCACAAAGAUGUCCACAUCGCAAUCCCCAGAACUUGUGAAAGUUACUUUAUAUAACAAAAGGGAUUCUGUAGAUAGGAUUAAGGAUCUUGAAAUGGGAAGAGUAUCCUGCAUUGUCCGAGUGGGCCCAAUAUAAUCAUAAAAG
RNAcentral lists this long non-coding RNA (1262 nucleotides) under Equus caballus (horse). RNAcentral describes it as "lncRNA (ENSECAG00000052886.1)". The record is from RNAcentral. Lineage: Eukaryota; Metazoa; Chordata; Mammalia; Perissodactyla; Equidae.